RNAcentral lists this ribosomal RNA (291 nucleotides) under uncultured microorganism. RNAcentral describes it as "partial 16S ribosomal RNA". It matches the Rfam family "Bacterial small subunit ribosomal RNA", at positions 505 to 796 of the family's 1533-position model. The record is from RNAcentral.
UUGCCAGCAGCCGCGGUAAUACGGAGGGUCCGAGCGUUAAUCGGAAUUACUGGGCGUAAAGCGUGCGCAGGCGGUUUGUUAAGCCAGAUGUGAAAUCCCCGGGCUCAACCUGGGAAUUGCAUUUGGAACUGGCGAACUAGAGUCUUGUAGAGGGGGGUAGAAUUCCAGGUGUAGCGGUGAAAUGCGUAGAUAUCUGGAGGAAUACCGGUGGCGAAGGCGGCCCCCUGGACAAAGACUGACGCUCAUANGGAAAGGUGGGGGAGCCAACAGGAUUAGAAACCUUGGUAGUCC